ACGGGAGGCAGCAGUGAGGAAUAUUGGUCAAUGGGCGGAAGCCUGAACCAGCCAAGUCGCGUGAAGGAUGAAGGUAUUAUGUAUUGUAAACUUCUUUAGCUGUGGAGCAAUAAUCUCCAUGUAUGGAGAGAUGAGAGUACACAGAGAAUAAGGAUCGGCUAACUCCGUGCCAGCAGCCGCGGUAAUACGGAGGACCCGAGCGUUAUCCGGAUUUAUUGGGUUUAAAGGGUGCGCAGGCGGAGGAUUAAGUCAGCGGUGAAAUUCUCAUGCUCAACAUGAGAACUGCCAUUGAUACUGGUCCCCUUGAGAGAUGUCGAGGAUGGCGGAAUGUGAUGUGUAGCGGUGAAAUGCUUAGAUAUGUCACAGAACACCGAUUGCGAAGGCAGCUGUCCAGAGAUCAUCUGACGCUCAGGCACGAAAGCAUGGGUAUCAAACAGGAUUAGAUACCCUGGUA
This 454-nucleotide ribosomal RNA is filed under the name uncultured Porphyromonadaceae bacterium. Its description in RNAcentral is "partial 16S ribosomal RNA". It matches the Rfam family "Bacterial small subunit ribosomal RNA", at positions 341 to 792 of the family's 1533-position model. Lineage: Bacteria; Pseudomonadati; Bacteroidota; Bacteroidia; Bacteroidales; Porphyromonadaceae. The record is from RNAcentral.